Molecule: non-coding RNA, 167 nt
Filed under: chicken gut metagenome
Description: Lysine riboswitch
Rfam family: Lysine riboswitch aptamer
About the family: Riboswitches are metabolite binding domains within certain messenger RNAs that serve as precision sensors for their corresponding targets. Allosteric rearrangement of mRNA structure is mediated by ligand binding, and this results in modulation of gene expression. This family includes riboswitches that sense lysine in a number of genes involved in lysine metabolism, including lysC.
Source: RNAcentral
AAGAUAGAGGUUGCGGCGUUCAAUAGUAGCGCGGUGAGGGCUCCGGUGGCCCUGUGACCCGCCGCGAAAGGGACCGCCGCCGAAGGGUCCUCCCUCCCGGAGGGGACUCCCUGGGCGCUGGGUCAACAGCCCUGCGACUGUCACCCAUUCGGGUGGAGUGCUGUCUG